CACCUCUACCCACCUCUACUCUACUGGAAUCCACUGAGAAGACUACUGGUGUGUAACCAUGCUGAAGGCUGUGUUUAUUCUGGGAUGUCUCCUGUCUGUGGCUCUGGCCAGUGAUGAAACGGGGGACAGCGAUGGAACUUCUGGGGAAACUGACACCAGCGGCGAAACGACCAUCGCGCAGCUGUUGGCAGCAUUGGCAGCAUUGGCCGCCACCGCCACCACCACCACCACCGCCCCUCCCGCCACCACAUAGACAGUGGGCACCGCAAAGAACCUGGCUCCAGCUCCAAAUGUUGUUGUUUAUGUAUUAGAAAACAACUAUGCCGUGAUUGAUUGAUGCUUAAUAAACUGCA
Long non-coding RNA from Boleophthalmus pectinirostris (great blue-spotted mudskipper), 353 nucleotides. RefSeq lists it as uncharacterized. Lineage: Eukaryota; Metazoa; Chordata; Actinopteri; Gobiiformes; Gobiidae. The record is from RefSeq and is a predicted model, not a curated record. The transcript has 3 exons.